AGAGUAUCCUAAGGCCAGCGAGAGAACUAUUGUUAAGGAACUCGGCAAAAUGACCCCGUAACUUAGGGAGAAGGGGUGCCUGUCUAUGACAGGCCGCAGAGAAUAGGCCCAAGCGACUGUUUACCAAAAACACAGGUUUCUGCUAAGUCGUAAGACGAUGUAUAGGAGCUGACGCCUGCCCGGUGCUGGAAGGUUAAGGGGAUCUGUUAGAGCAAUCGAAGCAGUGAACUUAAGCCCCAGUAAACGGCGGCCGUAACAAUAACGGUCCUAAGGUAGCGAAAUUCCUUGUCGGGUAAGUUCCGACCCGCACGAAAGGCGUAACGAUUUGGGCACUGUCUCAACAAUAGACUCGGUGAAAUUGUAAUCCCGGUGAAGAUGCCGGGUACCUGCGACAGGACGGAAAGACCCCAUGGAGCUUUACUGUAGCUUGACGUUGGGUCUUGGUACUACAUGUACAGGAUAGGUGGGAGACUAUGAAGCAUGGACGCCAGUCUGUGUGGAGUCAUCCUUGGGAUACCACCCUUGUAGUACUGGGAUCUUAACCAUAGGCCUUGAAUCAGGUCUUGGAACACCGUCAGGUGGGCAGUUUGACUGGGGCGGUCGCCUCUUAAAAAGUAACGGAGGCGCUCAAAGGUUUCCUCAGCACGGUCGGAAAUCGUGCGAAGAGUGUAAAGGCAAAAGGAAGCUUGAUUGCAAGACAUACAGGUCGAGCAAGGACGAAAGUCGGACUUAGUGAUCCGGUGGUACCGCAUGGAAGGGCCAUCGCUCAACGGAUAAAAGCUACCCUGGGGAUAACAGGCUUAUCUCCCCCAAGAGUCCACAUCGACGGGGAGGUUUGGCACCUCGAUGUCGGCUCAUCACAUCCUGGGGCUGUAGUAGGUCCCAAGGGUUGGGCUGUUCGCCCAUUAAAGUGGUACGCGAGCUGGGUUCAGAACGUCGUGAGACAGUUCGGUCCCUAUCCGUCGCAGGCGUAGGAAAUUUGAGAAGACCUGUCCUUAGUACGAGAGGACCGGGAUGGACGUACCUCUGGUGUACCAGUUGUUCUGCCAAGGGCAUGGCUGGGUAGCUAUGUACGGAAUGGAUAAGCGCUGAAAGCAUCUAAGCGCGAAGCCAACUUCAAGAUAAGAUUUCCCACCGUAAGGGUAAGACCCCAGGAAGACUACCUGGUUGAUAGGUCGAAGGUGUAAGUGCAGUAAUGUAUUUAGCUUAUUGAUACUGAUAGGUCGAGGACUUGACC
Molecule: ribosomal RNA, 1237 nt
Filed under: metagenome
Description: bacterial LSU rRNA
Rfam family: Bacterial large subunit ribosomal RNA
Source: RNAcentral